RNAcentral lists this transfer RNA (695 nucleotides) under uncultured Prochlorococcus sp. The stretch from base 261 to 333 matches the Rfam family "tRNA". Lineage: Bacteria; Bacillati; Cyanobacteriota; Cyanophyceae; Synechococcales; Prochlorococcaceae. The record is from RNAcentral.
CAGGGAGACAAAACUGAUUUUGAUGUCUGAGUUAUUUAUUCUUAGGCCGUGAUCCUGUCACCUUAGGUCGAUCGGUACCUCAGAUUUCUAGCCAAAAUUAAGUUGAUAAAACAUCCUAAUUGGUUAUUAAUUUCAGUUCCUAAACUUGUCUAGGUCACACCCAACAAGGGUACUCCUGGGCCAUUAGCUCAGGUGGUUAGAGCGCACCCCUGAUAAGGGUGAGGUCCCUGGUUCAAGUCCAGGAUGGCCCAUUCGGUGUUGGGGGUAUAGCUCAGUUGGUAGAGCGCCUGCUUUGCAAGCAGGAUGUCAGCGGUUCGAGUCCGCUUACCUCCACUGAUUAACCACCUUAUAUUGAAAUACAAGGAGAUUCUCUUUGUUGAAACAGUGUGAUUUAUACUUCAGUUUUAAAUUCAAGAACCUAGCUUCUUGUUAUUCCUUGUCUAAAUUCAUUUUUAGAUUUGGUUGACAGGACGCUGGGCUCACUGUGAUCUCUUAGAUCACAGAGAUGUUCAGUAGAACCUUGACAACUGCAUAGGUGAGUCUGGAAAGAACAAAGCAUCUCAUGGAUGCAUUAUUCUUUUGAUCUGACUAAUUAUUCUUCAAAGAAUAAUUUUUUUGAUUCAAUAGAAAUAUGUUUAAUUCUUGAGCAAGAGCCGAGACUCUAUAACCCAAUUUAAAGAAGUUAUAGAGGUAAU